GGGGCUAUAGCUCAGUCGGUUAGAGCCGCGGACUCAUAAUUCGUAGGUCGCGGGUUCAAGUCCCGCUAGCCCCA
This 74-nucleotide transfer RNA is filed under the name Corynebacterium maris DSM 45190. It matches the Rfam family "tRNA". Rfam says of the family: Transfer RNA (tRNA) molecules are approximately 80 nucleotides in length. Their secondary structure includes four short double-helical elements and three loops (D, anti-codon, and T loops). Lineage: Bacteria; Bacillati; Actinomycetota; Actinomycetes; Mycobacteriales; Corynebacteriaceae. The record is from Rfam by way of RNAcentral.